AGUAUUACCGAUAGCUGUUCGCUUCACAAAGCAAUGACCUUGAUCAUUAUUAUCGUUAUUCUUUUUACCAAUAUCACUCAGAAACCAGCGGCUCCUAGUGGGAAGCGUUGUGACAAACUCCACUCUUGGGGGAUACAGUCAUCACCUCCAUUUGGGGUCCACGAGUUGGCAGAGGAAAACUUGCAAACAAAUGGAAUGUUCUUGAGAUUUUAUUUCUUAGAGCCCAGCUGUAAACUAAUGUAUCGAGCAAGGCUUCUCAAAACGCAAAAAAUAUCUGACAUCUGGAUUCUUAAAAGUGUCAGAUAUCAAGACGCUAAAGCUUCCAACAUGAUUGUUAAGUUGGCCAGGUGUGAAUUAAGUCUAAGAAAUAUGACAGAUCCUGGUCACCAUGUAAAAAUGCAGGGUGACUGUGCCCCAGGCUUCCACCCCAGGUGGGUGGAAAAUCUGGCAGGAAGGGGUGUUCUGUGCGUGGACCAGAGGCCUUGGAAUGAGCCGACGUGGUUCCAUUUCCAUGAAUGAAGGGACAUCUGCACGGAGGUUCCUACUAGCUCGUACAAAGUGGUCUGUGUCCCAGCAAACCCCAUGUCCGUGUGUGUGUUUUACAGUCGGGGAACUGAGGGCAGAGAGGCGAGCUCACGUGCGUGAGUGUAGGCGUGGCCCAGGACGAGAGCCUGUGUUUGGAGGACCUUUUCAUUACAACUCUUAAACUGCCCAAGCUUGUCGCCGUCCAUGUAAAAUCGUCCUCAAUGUCAUUGUAAGUUUUGGGGCCAGGGGAUGAAACGAGUCGGGAAGGUAAGACGGGACAUGUGGGUGGAAUACCACGUGGGCCAUGUUGCUUGCACUUUGACGGCCGAGCCAGGGGCUGGGUGAGCGCCAAGGCGCCGGGGGUCCCCCCCACCCGCCAUCCGCUCCAGCGGGCCUGGCCGUGUGUCUCUCCCCCGAGAGACACUCGCUCCUGCUGCGGGGGGGGGGGGGGGCACAGGCUGCCGCGGCAACGUGUUGAGGCUCAGACAGGUGCAGGCACUGUGUUUAGGGAGCUCGGAAACGUCCCCAGUCUCAGGGUCGGAAGGGACGCGGGGCCUCGGGCCCCCCAUUCAUCCCCUGCUGUAGGAGGGCCCUCCUCACUGCUCCAGACGACACUGCCUCUCUGAACGGCUGGCAUGACCCGUAACAGUGAUUUUAGGGAGCAAGCGAACCAAAUCCUGUUUUCUUGACAUUCGCUCUCCCACUGCACCAGAGGGUUCCACCACCCACGGACUCUGGUCCGGAAACGUCUCUUCCACGGCUCCACGGCCGGAUGCAGCACGGGGGAGAAAAGCAGUGGCCGUCGUUGGAGACCCCCUGCCAGGCUAUCCUCAAAAUGCUCUAGUCCUCGGCCAUUUCAGCCCAAAUGCUCGCAAGUUUUGACAACGUCUCCCGGCCUAUGAGCCGUGAGGUGCCUUCGCUGGGACUCAUCUGCUCGGGCCUGCCAAUUUGAGGAGCCAAGUGCUAACGGGAGACAUUCCGCACGGUUCUCGGCCCAGAAAGUAUCUGUUUUCACUGCAGCCAUCAAGUCCUCAAAAUCAAGAGAAUCCAGCACUGUGACGGGAGGCGGGCAUUUUUGUCCGAGGGCCUUCGCGCGACCUUCCCCGCACAGAACGACCACAGAAACACCGUGUGUCUUCACCCCAGGGCUGCUACCAGACUUCGGUGAGCUGGAAAAGCUGUACGUCAUGGGCGGAGCCCCGAAUAAGGAGGAUCGAAUCCACACAAGGCGCUUGAUCUAAAUAUUUACAAGGAAUUCUGAUCAGAUGCUCACUGUCCAAAUUAAUAUUAUUUCAUCUGAAAAAACAAGAGUGUUUUCAUCCAAAAUCAGCUGUUGUUUGGAGUCCAAUCAGCGUACCAUGCGGCAAAACACAACAGAGGAGCACGAUGUGCGGUGACAGGACGGGGCAUGGCUGGAAAUUAAGCAGAUUCUCUGAACAACCGAACCUAAUGAAUCCUGCAAAGGCUGAGCUGGUGCAGGGCACUAAAGACACAGGAACGAGUGUGAAAUGUGACGUCACGUCUCUCCAAGAGACCCUGGGUCCUCAAAGGAGGGUCACACGCCUCCCAGUAAAAAGUUUUCAAGGCCCGCCCAUCUCCCCAGCUUCCCUACGCCUCUUUUCCUGCGAGGUUUCCUGGCACAAACCUGGAUCCCCCAGCACAGAGCCCGGGCGUUUCCAGGGACAUUCUCAGGAAAAGCUGCCGUAUGAUGAAGUAACGCUCGUGUCUCCCGGGCAUCCUUGGGCCCAGAGUUUACUUUGACAUCACGCGGGCCUGUUUCAGGAAGAAGAAAGAGCCUCUGUAAGAUAGGAAGACAAUAGGCACCGAGGAAGAAGGGGGUUUCGCAAAAGCCUGUGAUGUUAAGCGCAGGGCCCUGACCUUGCCCUGCAAACCUGGGAGGGAGGGGGCUUGCUUUUCUGUCGCAUGUGGGCUCUAUCCCGCUGCCCUCGCAGGACCCUCGCCGCGUCCAGACCGAGAGGCCCGAGUGCGGGUCUCAGGAGCCCCGAACGCUGCGGCGGGACCCGGGCAGGUCCUGGUGGGAAGGGGGUCUGAGGUGCUUUGUGAGGACAAAGGAGAGGGUCUGUCGGGUUCAAGGGAGGACUUUGAGGGUUCAGGCUUAAUCUUGAAUGUGAACCAGCUCAGAGGUAGGAGCAGGAAGAGAGGAAUCUGGGGAGGAAACUUCAAGGCAGAAGGUGCAUGGAAGGGCCCCGAGCUUUCGGAGCAUGCCGGGCCCGGGGCCAGGGGAGGGCGGGGCUGGGAUUACAUCCCCACACAGGUGGGGUCAGACCAGCACGGGCCCCUCGUCCACACUGACGGUGAUGCUUGCACCUGGAAAUAAACCCGAUGAAAGACUGAUUUUCUUCCUGGCCGCACCCUCCCCGCCCCUCACCCCUGCAGCGGUAACCAGCGACCCCGACGGCUUAGCCUGCGGGGACCCUGCUUCUCUGUUUCUCACACGCAGGCAGGCUCGCCCUGCGGCCGCACAAUCAUACGGCCCGGCUUGUGUGCAUCCGACUUCAACCCCCAGACCCUUUCUCGUCCACACGCCGUUUGGGGGCCCGCGCUCUGGGCGCCCCUGCUGGGUCCCCAGACGGGCUUCAGGCUGCACUUCCACUCGUCGCCACCGGAGGCACUGCAUCGGCCACGGGUGCCACGAGGGGGUGUGACCUGUGGCCUGCCUGAGUCAGCCAGCGCGUGGGGCACCGACGCCUCGCGCUUGGGCUGCAACUGCCUCCGUGGCCACGCCGCGCGGGAGCUGUGCUGGCUGCCUCUAGGCGUCAAGAUUCUGCCUGGACGCCAGCUGCGGCUGUCACUUCCUGGCCGAGCGUCACUGAGCAGCUUUCCUCCUCCACCCCGUCCCCCGCUCCUCGGCCGCUCCCAAUGAGAACACACAGAAAGUGCUUAGUGGUGAACCCGCUCCGGGCACAAAGGGGCGAAUGUUUGCUGUUGACUGUCGUUGACGUAAUGGGAAUGUGGUCCCUGUCCCCCAGGAGCCGCGACCAGGAGGAAGCCUGCGGUUAAAAAGAAAAAUGCCGUGCGGUCUGAUGAGUCAGCUGAAGACCAGAAAGAGGAGCAGAGGCCCGGAGGCCGGGUGGGCCGGGAGGGGUGGGCUAGGCACAGGGCACUUGCACAGGCCUGCCCUCCGCCCCCAUCACAGCCGGGGAGGGGGCAGCGGUCGGGGCCGGGUGACCGGAGUGUCCUCUCCAGGUCUCACUGCACACCUGCUGUGGGGCGUGCACCCCAAGGCCGUAAAAGGCCUAGAUGCCAUUGCAACGUUGGGGGCUUUCGUCCCGUUGGGGGCGGUGAGGGCUGCAGGGACCCUCUCCGACCGACACGUCUUCUCUUGCUCGUGUUGCUAAGACAUCAAAGAACAAGGAAGGAGAAAGGGGAAAACAAAACACAAGGUGGGCAAGGGUCGUGGGUCUGGGCACGCGCUGGUCACCGACGGGAGCCGGGGACCUCGGGAGUCAGAGCGCGCUCCGGAGAGCGGGGGCUUUGCUCUUGCCUCCUGCUCCGCACUUGUCUGUGGCUCCCGCCGGACACCAGGCCCAGUCUUGCUCCUUCCCUGCUUGCUGCCAGCCGCGGGCCGAGUCCUGCCGGAACACAGUGGACGUCAAGGACCGGCGUCCUGGGGACCCGCUUAUGCCGGUGACCUUGCUGGCUCGUUACCGUUCUUUCCGACGGCAGAGGUACCCUCACGUGACCGUGACAUCUGAAGCGGGGCUACAGAAUAAGUAGACCGGAUGUCUGUAGACCCAUUUUACAGAUUGGGAAAGUGAGAUUGAAAGACACAUAGUCUCGCGUGUUCUUCCCACUGAGAAAACGACACAGCCAGCACUCGGCUGAUGCUUGACUUGAAUUCCGUGGUUUCCCAUGAUUCCCCACUUAAAAUAAUUCUGCAAAGCAUCAUGUGCUACUUGGCAUUUCGUUGUAUUAAACGCAGAUCUGGCUGCUAUCGUGGGGUAGACGCGUGUCAACUAGAGAUCUAUCAGAAGCUCCCAUUAUCUAGAAAUAAUGAGACAUUUCCAUCAAGCCGUAUUUGAGGCUGCCCUCUACUUGUAGGAGAAAGACACACAUCAUGUGAUCACGGAUGUAUCUUGAGUCCCACAUCAGUCCGGUCCAGUGUCAGCUUCUGGGGUUAGGCGAACCCCGUUCUGCACUUCAGUGGCGGCCCCGGAGCAGAGACGGUCAAAACACAGGAGCAAAUCCACGCAGGACGCGCUGUCAGUAGAUGCGCAGCUCCGUUGGCCCACAGCUAUCGGUGCGCCGGGGAGAGACGGUUUUUAAGCAAAAAUGUGCAAAGUGAUGAUUCCACCGUGCCUUUAGUUCCUGUAAAAUGGGCCCGUCUGGGCUCAUUCAGACUUCAAGAUGAGCAAAGGUUGUCUGGAAAGUGUUUCCUUUCCCACAAUGUCAGAAAAUAAGACAGAGCUUGGGAUAACAUGGGCCCACAUGUAAACUCUUGAGCUUUGGUUAUUUAAAAAUAACGAUCCUUAAAUACA
Felis catus (domestic cat) is the source of this 5024-nucleotide long non-coding RNA. RefSeq lists it as uncharacterized. NCBI's taxonomy places the organism in Eukaryota, Metazoa, Chordata, Mammalia, Carnivora, Felidae. The transcript has 6 exons. The record is from RefSeq and is a predicted model, not a curated record.